UGUUACCGCGGCGGCUGGCACCAGUCUUGCCCGGCCCUUGCUAUGAAAUGCUUUUUAGGCAUCUCGACAGCCAGAUUUGUAACCUGGCACUCGAGGUUCCCUUAUCGCUGUUGCCAGCAUUGUAAAGUUUUCGCGCCUGCUGCACCCCGUAGGGCCUGGGUUCGUGUCUCAGAAUCCAUCUCCGGGCUCUUGCUCUCACAACCCGUACCCGUCGUAGGCUAGUAGGUACAUUACACCCACUACUACCUGAUAGGCCGCAGACCCAUCCUUGGGCAGACGAAUCCAUUUGACGCAUAAAGCAUUCCAGCAUAUAUGCGUUAUCCGGAAUUAUCCCCAGUUUCCCGGGGUUAUGCCGGACCCAAGGGCAGGUUAUCCACGUGUUACUGAGCAGUACGCCAUGUUCACGAAGAACAUAUGACUUGCAUGGCUUAGUCGAACACCGAUAGCAGUAACCUCUGGCAGGAUCAGCCGGA
This 473-nucleotide ribosomal RNA is filed under the name unidentified archaeon. RNAcentral's name for it is "partial 16S ribosomal RNA". The record is from RNAcentral.